GUAAAGAACUUGCCUCACAGCUAGGGACAACAUUUAGAAAUGAAUGCUAAUACCUGAUAUUAUGAUUUUAAGGCAUCUUAGAAUUAUGAAAGCUAUAAGCACUGUGAGAGAGCUUUGCGUCCCAUUAGCUAGUUGGUGAGGUAACGGCUCACCAAGCCGACGAUCAGUAGCCGGUCUGAGAGGAUGAACGGCCACACUGGAACUGAGACACGGCCCAGACUCCUACGGGAGGCAGCAGUGGGGAAUCUUCCGCAAUGGACGAAAGUCUGACGGAGCAACGCCGCGUGAGCGAUGACGGCCUUCGGGUUGUAAAGCUCUGUUAAUCGGGACGAAAGGCCUUCUUGCGAAUAGUGAGAAGGAUUGACGGUACCGGAAUAGAAAGCCACGGCUAACUACGUGCCAGCAGCCGCGGUAAUACGUAGGUGGCAAGCGUUGUCCGGAAUUAUUGGGCGUAAAGCGCGCGCAGGCGGAUAGGUCAGUCUGUCUUAAAAGUUCGGGGCUUAACCCCGUGAUGGGAUGGAAACUGCCAAUCUAGAGUAUCGGAGAGGAAAGUGGAAUUCCUAGUGUAGCGGUGAAAUGCGUAGAUAUUAGGAAGAACACCAGUGGCGAAGGCGACUUUCUGGACGAAAACUGACGCUGAGGCGCGAAAGCCAGGGGAGCGAACGGGAUUAGAUACCCCGGUAGUCCUGGCCGUAAACGAUGGGUACUAGGUGUAGGAGGUAUCGACCCCUUCUGUGCCGGAGUUAACGCAAUAAGUACCCCGCCUGGGGAGUACGACCGCAAGGUUAAACUCAAAGGAAUUGACGGA
This 808-nucleotide ribosomal RNA is filed under the name uncultured bacterium. Its description in RNAcentral is "bacterial SSU rRNA". It matches the Rfam family "Bacterial small subunit ribosomal RNA", at positions 117 to 917 of the family's 1533-position model. The record is from RNAcentral.